Molecule: ribosomal RNA, 513 nt
Filed under: uncultured bacterium
Lineage: Bacteria
Description: partial 16S ribosomal RNA
Rfam family: Bacterial small subunit ribosomal RNA
Source: RNAcentral
GAUGAACGCUGGCGGCGUGCCUAAUACAUGCAAGUCGAGCGAACAGAUAAGGAGCUUGCUCCUUUGAAGUUAGCGGCGGACGGGUGAGUAACACGUGGGUAACCUACCUAUAAGACUGGGAUAACUUCGGGAAACCGGAGCUAAUACCGGAUAACAUUUAGAACCGCAUGGUUCUAAGGUGAAAGAUGGUUUUGCUAUCACUUAUAGAUGGACCCGCGCCGUAUUAGCUAGUUGGUAAGGUAACGGCUUACCAAGGCGACGAUACGUAGCCGACCUGAGAGGGUGAUCGGCCACACUGGAACUGAGACACGGUCCAGACUCCUACGGGAGGCAGCAGUAGGGAAUCUUCCGCAAUGGGCGAAAGCCUGACGGAGCAACGCCGCGUGAGUGAUGAAGGGUUUCGGCUCGUAAAACUCUGUUAUUAGGGAAGAACAAAUGUGUAAGUAACUGUGCACAUCUUGACGGUACCUAAUCAGAAAGCCACGGCUAACUACGUGCCAGCAGCCGCAGUAA